AGUGAACGCUGGCGGUAGGCCUAACACAUGCAAGUCGAACGGCAGCACAGUAAGAGCUUGCUCUUACGGGUGGCGAGUGGCGGACGGGUGAGGAAUACAUCGGAAUCUACUUUUUCGUGGGGGAUAACGUAGGGAAACUUACGCUAAUACCGCAUACGACCUACGGGGGAAAGCAGGGGAUCUUCGGACCUUGCGCGAUUGAAUGAGCCGAUGUCGGAUUAGCUAGUUGGCGGGGUAAAGGCCCACCAAGGCGACGAUCCGUAGCUGGUCUGAGAGGAUGACCAGCCCCACUGGCGCUGAGCCACGGUCCAGACUCCUACGGGAGGAACCAGUGGGGCACACUGGACUAAGGGCGUAAGCCGUACCGAGCCAGCCCGCGUGGGUGAGGAAGACCUCCGCGUUGUAAAGCACUCUUUUGGGGGAAGCAAGGCAGGAGGUUGAUGCCUCGCUGGCCUGACGGUACCGAGACAAUGAGCAAGGGCUAACUACGUG
This 492-nucleotide ribosomal RNA is filed under the name uncultured bacterium. RNAcentral describes it as "partial 16S ribosomal RNA". It matches the Rfam family "Bacterial small subunit ribosomal RNA", at positions 29 to 507 of the family's 1533-position model. The record is from RNAcentral.